GGUACGGAAAGCACGGGAGAAGGGAGUCAGCCGACUGCCUUGCAAAGCAGUCCUGCACAGCACAUGCGAGGUACGGAAAGCACUGGAGAAGGGAGUCGGCUGACUGCCUUGCGAAGCAGUCCUGCACAACACAUGCGAGAGGAACAAAGUCAAGGCAUUACGCAC
Long non-coding RNA from Rhipicephalus sanguineus (brown dog tick), 165 nucleotides. RefSeq lists it as uncharacterized. The transcript has 3 exons. Lineage: Eukaryota; Metazoa; Arthropoda; Arachnida; Ixodida; Ixodidae. The record is from RefSeq and is a predicted model, not a curated record.